UGGGGAAUAUUGGACAAUGGGCGAAAGCCUGAUCCAGCCAUGCCGCGUGUGUGAAGAAGGUCUUCGGAUUGUAAAGCACUUUAAGUUGGGAGGAAGGGCAGUAAGCGAAUACCUUGCUGUUUUGACGUUACCGACAGAAUAAGCACCGGCUAACUCUGUGCCAGCAGCCGCGGUAAUACAGAGGGUGCAAGCGUUAAUCGGAAUUACUGGGCGUAAAGCGCGCGUAGGUGGUUCGUUAAGUUGAAUGUGAAAGCCCCGGGCUCAACCUGGGAACUGCAUCCAAAACUGGCGAGCUAGAGUAGAGCAGAGGGUGGUGGAAUUUCCUGUGUAGCGGUGAAAUGCGUAGAUAUAGGAAGGGACACCAGUGGCGAAGGCGACCACCUGGGCUCAUACUGACACUGAGGUGCGAAAGCGUGGGGAGCAAACAGG
RNAcentral lists this ribosomal RNA (429 nucleotides) under Pseudomonadota bacterium. RNAcentral's name for it is "Proteobacteria bacterium partial 16S ribosomal RNA". It matches the Rfam family "Bacterial small subunit ribosomal RNA", at positions 355 to 776 of the family's 1533-position model. The record is from RNAcentral. Lineage: Bacteria; Pseudomonadati; Pseudomonadota.